Molecule: ribosomal RNA, 380 nt
Filed under: uncultured bacterium
Lineage: Bacteria
Description: bacterial SSU rRNA
Rfam family: Bacterial small subunit ribosomal RNA
Source: RNAcentral
GACGAACGCUGGCGGCGUGCUUAACACAUGCAAGUCGAGCGGUAAGGCCCUUUCGGGGGUACACGAGCGGCGAACGGGUGAGUAACACGUGGGUGACCUGCCCUCAGCUCUGGGAUAAGCCUGGGAGACCGGGUCUAAUACCGGAUAUGACUCCAUGACGCAUGUUGUGGGGUGGAAAGCCUUGUGCGGCUGAGGAUGGGCCCGCGGCCUAUCAGCUUGUUGGUGGGGUGANGGCCUACCAAGGCGACGACGGGUAGCCGGCCUGAGAGGGCGACCGGCCACACUGGGACUGAGACACGGCCCAGACUCCUACGGGAGGCAGCAGUGGGGAAUCUUGCGCAAUGGGCGAAAGCCUGACGCAGCGACGCCGCGUGAGGGAU